UACAGCUGUCAACAGUGUGAGACGUUGU
This 28-nucleotide small RNA is filed under the name Bombyx mori (domestic silkworm). RNAcentral describes it as "ovarian small RNA-20288". Lineage: Eukaryota; Metazoa; Arthropoda; Insecta; Lepidoptera; Bombycidae. The record is from RNAcentral.